Molecule: ribosomal RNA, 310 nt
Filed under: uncultured bacterium
Lineage: Bacteria
Description: bacterial SSU rRNA
Rfam family: Bacterial small subunit ribosomal RNA
Source: RNAcentral
GAUGAACGCUAGCUACAGGCUUAACACAUGCAAGUCGAGGGGCAUCAGGAUGUAGCAAUACAUUGCUGGCGACCGGCGCACGGGUGAGUAACACGUAUCCAACCUGCCUUUUACUCGGGGAUAGGCUUUCGAAAGAAAGAUUAAUACCCGAUGGUAUAAUAUUUCCGCAUGGGAUUAUUAUUAAAGGAUUCCGGUAAAGGAUGGGGAUGCGUUCCAUUAGGUUGUUGGUGAGGUAACGGCUCACCAAGCCUUCGAUGGAUAGGGGUUCUGAGAGGAAGGUCCCCCACAUUGGAACUGAGACACGGUCCAA